UACGCACUGGCGUCAUUGGUUUCUCCUUUCUGACGAACCAUGAUGUCAUUAAUUUGGUGUUAUGGGGAGUUAGGACUGUUACUUUGAAAAAAUUAGAGUGUUUAAAGCAGGCAUUAGCUUGAAUACAUUAGCAUGGAAUAAUGAAAUAGGACGUUCGAUCCUAUUUUGUUGGUUUCUAGGAUCAACGUAAUGAUUAAUAGGGAUAGUUGGGGGCAUUAGUAUUCAAUUGUCAGAGGUGAAAUUCUUGGAUUUAUUGAAGACUAACUACUGCGAAAGCAUUUGCCAAGGAUGUUUUCAUUAAUCAAGAACGAAAGUUAGGGGAUCGAAGACGAUCAGAUACCGUCGUAGUCUUAACCAUAAACUAUGCCGACUAGGGAUCGGAUGAUGUUAAUUUUUUAAUGACUCAUUCGGCGCCUUACG
This 420-nucleotide ribosomal RNA is filed under the name uncultured Glomeromycotina. RNAcentral's name for it is "SSU rRNA". It matches the Rfam family "Eukaryotic small subunit ribosomal RNA", at positions 674 to 1092 of the family's 1831-position model. Lineage: Eukaryota; Fungi; Glomeromycota. The record is from RNAcentral.